UACCUAGUGGUCCAGUGGCUAAGACACUGCUCUCCCAAUGCUGGGGUCCCAGGUUCAAUCCCUGGUCAGGGAA
Molecule: non-coding RNA, 73 nt
Organism: Bos taurus (domestic cattle)
Lineage: Eukaryota; Metazoa; Chordata; Mammalia; Artiodactyla; Bovidae
Source: Rfam